RNAcentral lists this ribosomal RNA (497 nucleotides) under uncultured bacterium. Its description in RNAcentral is "partial 16S ribosomal RNA". It matches the Rfam family "Bacterial small subunit ribosomal RNA", at positions 28 to 507 of the family's 1533-position model. The record is from RNAcentral.
GAUGAACGCUGGCGGCGUGCCUAAUACAUGCAAGUCGAGCGAACAGACGAGGAGCUUGCUCCUUUGACGUUAGCGGCGGACGGGUGAGUAACACGUGGGUAACCUACCUAUAAGACUGGGAUAACUUCGGGAAACCGGAGCUAAUACCGGAUAAUAUUUCGAACCGCAUGGUUCGAUAGUGAAAGAUGGCUUUGCUAUCACUUAUAGAUGGACCUGCGCCGUAUUAGCUAGUUGGUAAGGUAACGGCUUACCAAGGCAACGAUACGUAGCCGACCUGAGAGGGUGAUCGGCCACACUGGAACUGAGCCACGGUCCAGACUCCUACGGGAGGCAGCAGUAGGGAAUCUUCCGCAAUGGGCGAAAGCCUGACGGAGCAACGCCGCGUGAGUGAUGAAGGUCUUCGGAUCGUAAAACUCUGUUAUUAGGGAAGAACAAACGUGUAAGUAACUGUGCACGUCUUGGCGGUACCUAAUCAGAAAGCCACGGCUAACUACGUG